AGCGCAGGCGGGUUGGCAAGUCAUUGGUGAAAUCCUGAGGCUUAACCUCAGGACUGCCAAUGAUACUGCCAAUCUUGAGUGCAGAAGAGGAAGAUGGAAUUCCUGGUGUAGCGGUGAAAUGCGUAGAUAUCAGGAAGAACACCGGUGGCGAAGGCGGUCUUCUGGUCUGUAACUGACGCUCAUGCUCGAAAGCGUGGGAGCAAACAGGAUUAGAUACCCUGGUAGUCCACGCCCUAAACGAUGGAUACUCGAUGUCGGGUCGCAAGGCCCGGUGUCCAAGCUAACGCGUUAAGUAUCCCACCUGGGGAUACGAUCGCAAGGUUGAA
Molecule: ribosomal RNA, 326 nt
Filed under: uncultured bacterium
Lineage: Bacteria
Description: bacterial SSU rRNA
Rfam family: Bacterial small subunit ribosomal RNA
Source: RNAcentral